RNAcentral lists this ribosomal RNA (253 nucleotides) under uncultured Ralstonia sp. RNAcentral describes it as "partial 16S ribosomal RNA". It matches the Rfam family "Bacterial small subunit ribosomal RNA", at positions 101 to 354 of the family's 1533-position model. Lineage: Bacteria; Pseudomonadati; Pseudomonadota; Betaproteobacteria; Burkholderiales; Burkholderiaceae. The record is from RNAcentral.
AACGGGUGAGUAAUACAUCGGAACGUGCCCUGUAGUGGGGGAGUAACUAGUCGAAAGAUUAGCUAAUACCGCAUACGACCUGAGGGUGAAAGUGGGGGACCGCAAGGCCUCAUGCUAUAGGAGCGGCCGAUGUCUGAUUAGCUAGUUGGUGGGGUAAAGGCCUACCAAGGCGACGAUCAGUAGCUGGUCUGAGAGGACGAUCAGCCACACUGGGACUGAGACACGGCCCAGACUCCUACGGGAGGCAGCAGAC